This 388-nucleotide ribosomal RNA is filed under the name uncultured bacterium. RNAcentral's name for it is "bacterial SSU rRNA". It matches the Rfam family "Bacterial small subunit ribosomal RNA", at positions 28 to 417 of the family's 1533-position model. The record is from RNAcentral.
GACGAACGCUGGCGGCGUGCUUAACACAUGCAAGUCGAGCGGUAAGGCCCUUUCGGGGGUACACGAGCGGCGAACGGGUGAGUAACACGUGGGUGACCUGCCCUUAGCUCUGGGAUAAGCCUGGGAAACUGGGUCUAAUACCGGAUAUGACUCCAUGACGCAUGUUGUGGGGUGGAAAGCCUUGUGCGGCUAGGGAUGGGCCCGCGGCCUAUCAGCUUGUUGGUGGGGUGAUGGCCUACCAAGGCGACGACGGGUAGCCGGCCUGAGAGGGCGACCGGCCACACUGGGACUGAGACACGGCCCAGACUCCUACGGGAGGCAGCAGUGGGGAAUCUUGCGCAAUGGGCGAAAGCCUGACGCAGCGACGCCGCGUGAGGGAUGACGGCCU